RNAcentral lists this unclassified non-coding RNA (342 nucleotides) under soil metagenome. Its description in RNAcentral is "partial contains 5.8S ribosomal RNA, internal transcribed spacer 2, and large subunit ribosomal RNA". The stretch from base 1 to 120 matches the Rfam family "5.8S ribosomal RNA", at positions 35 to 154 of the family's 154-position model. The record is from RNAcentral.
GAUGAAGAACGUAGUAAAAUGCGAUAAGUAGUGUGAAUUGCAGAAUUCAGUGAAUCAUCGAAUCUUUGAACGCACAUUGCGCCCGCCAGCACUCUGGCGGGCAUGCCUGUUCGAGCGUCAUUUCAACCAUCAAGCCCCCAGGGGCUUGUGCUGGGGCCCUGCGGCUGCCCGCAGGCCCUGAAAACCAGUGGCGGGCUCGCUAGUCACACCGAGCGCAGUAGCACAUCUCGCUCAGGGCGUGCGGCGGGCUCCUGCCGUGAAACCCCCCACUGUAACCCCAAAGGUUGACCUCGGAUCAGGUAGGAAUACCCGCUGAACUUAAGCAUAUCAAUAAGCGGAGGA